AAGACGCACGCUCAAAAUUUCGUUCCAAAUUUUUAGUUAACAAAUUAUUAUUCACCUAUAUAAUUUUGUUUUCUUGUCACUGAUCAAACUAACUAAAGAAAGAAAAAUAUUUGGGUUGCUCUUUGUAUAAUCCAUUUUCAUGUUCCCAUCAAUUUUUGUAGUUUAAAUGUGUACAUGGAAAAAAGAGAGGAGGGAAUAGAUAGAAAAAAGGGUGAAAUCGGAAAGAAGCUAUAUAUGAGAGUCACAUCAACGAGGAAGGUCCAUUGGGUACUUAACGAGUAGAAAGAAGAAGACGAGAUUCGCACAUGGGUGGUGGGUUCUUUUUGUUCCCUCCCUAGGACAUCUAUAGUCUCUUCCAUUCACUUUAAACAA
Molecule: long non-coding RNA, 372 nt
Organism: Arabidopsis thaliana (thale cress)
Lineage: Eukaryota; Viridiplantae; Streptophyta; Magnoliopsida; Brassicales; Brassicaceae
Product: other RNA
Exons: 1
Source: RefSeq